This 273-nucleotide long non-coding RNA is filed under the name Elaeis guineensis (African oil palm). RNAcentral's name for it is "long non-coding RNA (EGUI_LNC008050)". Lineage: Eukaryota; Viridiplantae; Streptophyta; Magnoliopsida; Arecales; Arecaceae. The record is from RNAcentral.
GUGCUCAUCCGAUAAGAGAGGGUGUUGCAAAAUCCAAUCUAUUAUGCCAAUAGUAUUCUUCAUGAUGCAAAAAGUAGAUACUCCAAACUGAAGAAGCCAAAGUAACUAACCGAACCUUGUUGCAGAGAUUGAAGAUGAGGCUACACCAAGCCAAGGGUCAGUAGGUGGAAGGGUUCUAUAAUAUGUUGUUAGCCUAUUAGACAAUACAGCGGGCACCUAUUGGUGAGGCUCUAUUCAACCUCACCUUUGGAAUUAAAGCUGUUAUACCCUUUG